CGGCAGCAUCCGCGCCGGGCACGGGCGGGAGGAGGAGCGGGAGGUUACGGCGGGGAGCCGGGACAAACCAUUCCCUGCGAGGGGACACCGCCGGCGGCCGGGCGGCCGGGCGGGGCGGGCAGCGCGGACCCUCCCACACAGCCCAGCAUUUCUCUUCCCUCCUUCCUUGAAAUCCCAGCUGCCAUGGAAGUUGUGCUCUCCAACCCCACUGAAACUCUCAGAAGCCUUUUACUUCUAACUGUAUAAUCCUAAAAUUUGUGGAUGAAAAAGCCCUCUAUAAAUGCACUUUAGCUUCCUGGCUUGUAAAUGUAAGGAAAAUGCACUGCAGGCACCUGACUGAAGAACAUCUGCUGAAACCCUCUGAGCCUGGAAUGACCACUCAUUGAUGGCACUACCAAUAUAAAAAAAAAUUU
This is a long non-coding RNA of Passer montanus (Eurasian tree sparrow), 413 nucleotides long. RefSeq lists it as uncharacterized. The transcript has 3 exons. The record is from RefSeq and is a predicted model, not a curated record. NCBI's taxonomy places the organism in Eukaryota, Metazoa, Chordata, Aves, Passeriformes, Passeridae.